Molecule: ribosomal RNA, 253 nt
Filed under: uncultured bacterium
Lineage: Bacteria
Description: partial 16S ribosomal RNA
Rfam family: Bacterial small subunit ribosomal RNA
Source: RNAcentral
GACGGAUGGUGCAAGCGUUGCUCGGAAUCACUGGGCGUAAAGGGUGCGUAGGCGGCUUGGUAAGUUGGGUGUGAAAGCCCCGGGCUCAGCCCGGGAAGGGCACUCGAAACUGCCGAGCUGGAGUGCCGGAGGGGAGAGUGGAAUUCCUGGUGUAGCGGUGAAAUGCGUAGAUAUCAGGAGGAAUACCGGUGGCGAAAGCGACUCUCUGGACCAGCACUGACACUGAGGCACGAAAGCGUGGGGAGCAAGCAGG